GUGAGGAAUAUUGGACAAUGGGCGCAAGCCUGAUCCAGCCAUGCCGCGUGCAGGAAGACGCAUCUAUGGUGUGUAAACUGCUUUUGUACGGGAAGAAACACUCCCUCGUGAGGGAGCUUGACGGUACCGUAAGAAUAAGGAUCGGCUAACUCCGUGCCAGCAGCCGCGGUAAUACGGAGGAUCCAAGCGUUAUCCGGAAUCAUUGGGUUUAAAGGGUCCAUAGGCGGUUUAAUAAGUCAGUGGUGAAAGCCCAUCGCUCAACGAUGGAACGGCCAUUGAUACUGUUAGACUUGAAUUACAAGGAAGUAACUAGAAUAUGUAGUGUAGCGGUGAAAUGCUUAGAUAUUACAUGGAAUACCAAUUGCGAAGGCAGGUUACUACUUGUGGAUUGACGCUGAUGGACGAAAGCGUGGGGAGCGAACAGGAUUAGAAACCCGUGUAGUCC
RNAcentral lists this ribosomal RNA (445 nucleotides) under uncultured bacterium. Its description in RNAcentral is "partial 16S ribosomal RNA". It matches the Rfam family "Bacterial small subunit ribosomal RNA", at positions 354 to 796 of the family's 1533-position model. The record is from RNAcentral.